GCCGGUAUAGCUCAGUUGGUAGAGCAGCGCAUUCGUAACGCGCAGGUCAUGGGUUCAAGUCCCUUUACCGGCUCCA
Molecule: transfer RNA, 76 nt
Filed under: Cardiobacterium valvarum
Lineage: Bacteria; Pseudomonadati; Pseudomonadota; Gammaproteobacteria; Cardiobacteriales; Cardiobacteriaceae
Also listed under: 2 other names
Description: tRNA-Thr(cgt)
Rfam family: tRNA
About the family: Transfer RNA (tRNA) molecules are approximately 80 nucleotides in length. Their secondary structure includes four short double-helical elements and three loops (D, anti-codon, and T loops).
Source: RNAcentral